Long non-coding RNA from Piliocolobus tephrosceles (Ugandan red Colobus), 488 nucleotides. RefSeq lists it as uncharacterized. The transcript is spliced from 3 exons. Lineage: Eukaryota; Metazoa; Chordata; Mammalia; Primates; Cercopithecidae. The record is from RefSeq and is a predicted model, not a curated record.
AAUGGAUGCACUUGAGCUGACCUAAGCAUUCAUGGUCAUGAGCUUCAUGGUUGCUACUGUUGGUUAGGAGCAUAGAGAUCAGUAAUGGACACAUCUGGGCUGGCAGAACAUCUGGCCUUGAUCUGGAGCCCCAUGUCUGUCUCUCUGUAGAGGUGCACAUGGGCCUAUAAUGGAUGCAGUGAGCUGAUCAUUUCUCUGUGAUCAAGGCUAUAUUGCCUCUGUAUUAGGCCAAUGUGAGUAAUGGUUCCUGUCUUGGUUUAGGUUGUUUAAUAGUAUUCCUGGUAUUAUUAAAAAUUAUUUAAUAUAAUAAAAAGUUAAUUGGUUCAAUGACAAUGUGCAACAUUGAGGUUAAUUAAUCAAAGAGAUAUAGUCUCUGUGGGAAAUGAUCCUGUAGACAAAUGUAAGGAUUCUUCAGAUAUCUUGUUCUUGGGUUUUUGAAAUCGUGUAUUCACUUUAUUAUCAAAGAACAAAUGAUUUAUUCAAUAAAU